This 460-nucleotide ribosomal RNA is filed under the name uncultured bacterium. Its description in RNAcentral is "partial 16S ribosomal RNA". It matches the Rfam family "Bacterial small subunit ribosomal RNA", at positions 338 to 795 of the family's 1533-position model. The record is from RNAcentral.
CCUACGGGAGGCAGCAGUGAGGAAUAUUGGUCAAUGGGCGCGAGCCUGAACCAGCCAAGUAGCGUGAAGGAUGACUGCCCUACGGGUUGUAAACUUCUUUUAUAAAGGAAUAAAGUGAGGCACGUGUGCCUUUUUGUAUGUCCUUGAUGAUUAAGGAUCGGCUAACUCCGUGACAGCAGCCGCGGUAAUACGGAGGAUCCGAGCGUUAUCCGGAUUUAUUGGGUUGACAGGGAGCGUAGAUGGUUUGUUAAGUCAGUUUGGAAAGUUUGCGGGUCAACCGUAAAAUUGCAAUUGAUACUGGCAGUCUUGAGUACAGUUGAGGUAGGCGGAAUUCGUGGUGUAGCGGUGAAAUGCUUAGAUAUCACGAAGAACUCCGAUUGCGAAGGCAGCUUACUAAACUGCCACUGACAUUGAUGCUCGAAAGUGUGGGUAUCAAACAGGAUUAGAUACCCUGGUAGUC